This 328-nucleotide ribosomal RNA is filed under the name uncultured eukaryote. RNAcentral describes it as "partial 18S ribosomal RNA". It matches the Rfam family "Eukaryotic small subunit ribosomal RNA", at positions 1470 to 1796 of the family's 1831-position model. The record is from RNAcentral.
CCCUUAGAUGUUCUGGGCUGCACGCGCGCUACACUGAUGCGCUCAACGAGUUUACGACCUUGCCCGGAAGGGUUGGGUAAUCUUUUUAAAACGCAUCGUGAUGGGGAUAGAUUAUUGCAAUUAUUAAUCUUUAACGAGGAAUUCCUAGUAAGCGCAAGUCAACAGCUUGCGUUGAUUACGUCCCUGCCCUUUGUACACACCGCCCGUCGCUACUACUGAUUGGAUGUUUAAGCGAGGUUCUCGAACUGCUAGCGACUUAGCUUCGGUGAGGUCGCAGUGUGGGAAGUGAACCUAGCUUUGGUGUCUAGAGGAAGUAAAAGUCGUAACA